UUAAUACCGGAUAGAUCAAAGAAACUGGAAUGUUCUUUGGUUGAAAGCUCCGGCGCCCAAGGAUGGGUCUGCGGCCUAUCAGGUAGUAGUGGGUGUAACGUACCUACUAGCCUACGACGGGUAGGGGUUGUGAGAGCAAGAGCCCUGAGAUGGAUUCUGAGACAUGAAUCCAGGCCCUACGGGGUGCAGCAGGCGCGAAAACUUUACACUGCGGGAAACCGCGAUAAGGGGACCCCGAGUGCCAGCACCUAGUGCUGGCUGUCCAGCUGUUCAAAAAACAGUUGUUAGCAAGGGCCGGGCAAGACCGGUGCCAGCCGCCGCGGUAACACCGGCGGCCCGAGUGGUAGCCGUUAUUAUUGGGUUUAAAGGGUCCGUAGCCGGCCUAUUAAGUCUCUUGGGAAAUCUGGCGACUCAAUCGUCAGGCGUUCA
This 429-nucleotide ribosomal RNA is filed under the name uncultured archaeon. RNAcentral's name for it is "bacterial SSU rRNA". It matches the Rfam family "Archaeal small subunit ribosomal RNA", at positions 146 to 576 of the family's 1478-position model. The record is from RNAcentral.